CGAGAGAGGCCACAGGGCAACGAAAACUGCUAAUAUUCGCUACCUUGGUUGAACUCCAAGGCUCACUCGA
RNAcentral lists this transfer RNA (70 nucleotides) under Doryrhamphus japonicus. Its description in RNAcentral is "tRNA-Ser". Lineage: Eukaryota; Metazoa; Chordata; Actinopteri; Syngnathiformes; Syngnathidae. The record is from RNAcentral.